GAAAGAGGCCCGCAGCAAAAAGGAUUGCUAAUCCUUUACCCCGCAGUUAAACUCCGCGGCUCAUUCA
RNAcentral lists this transfer RNA (67 nucleotides) under Exostoma gaoligongense. RNAcentral describes it as "tRNA-Ser". Lineage: Eukaryota; Metazoa; Chordata; Actinopteri; Siluriformes; Sisoridae. The record is from RNAcentral.